This is a long non-coding RNA of Wyeomyia smithii (pitcher-plant mosquito), 5132 nucleotides long. RefSeq lists it as uncharacterized. The transcript is spliced from 3 exons. The record is from RefSeq and is a predicted model, not a curated record. NCBI's taxonomy places the organism in Eukaryota, Metazoa, Arthropoda, Insecta, Diptera, Culicidae.
GUUGUCGGUUUUUUUUCCAUCGACUGUCCAACUUUCGUGUUCUUACGGUGCCAACACUCGAUAUCUGAGCUAGAGUUAAUUUCCGAACCACUCAUUCUAUUCUCCCUUUCAAACAUAUCCUUUCAUUCCAAUCGCCAUUUGCACUUCGACUCGCCCUUUGAAUUAACUCUGGAAUAUUGUAUCUCACUCAACCACGUCAACUUUUAUUCUUUCACUCAUGCAUAUUCUGGCACCCAUCCCACGUCAUUGUCAACAUUCUGGACCAUGUCUUUCUGUCCCUGUUCAUCUCAAAAGCAUCUCCCAUACUGAGACGUUUGAGAGGGACCAAAGAAUGUCUCUCGCAUAAUGCGGUAAAUAAUAAAAAUAUUCCCUAAGGAAUUCAAUUUUAUCACCCUGGUGGUUAAAAUCUGAAACCCCAGUAUUAUGCAAGACUCCGAAUACACAACAUUCGGUUCCGAUGACGCGCAUUCAUACAUAUCCACAUUCGGCCGCACCGUACAUACAUUACAUUGCCUUACCACAAACGAUCAGUUUCUAAUCCGAAUCCAUCUUAUCGUUUCUGGCAGCACGGCCUCGUUUGGAGACGUCAACCGGCGAUGACGUCAUUCCUAUCCGGAAUGAUCAAUAUUUUAUGUAAACAAACCGGAAUGGAAACUCGCCGUUCACAUUCCGGUUUUCGCGAUUUUUUUUGGUUUUCGUGACGGUUUCUCGCGGCGAAAAUACGCUGCGCGUGCGUGUUUAUCCCCAUAGAAAGGGGAAAAGUGUUUUGUGCGAACAAGAAACGCCCAAACAAGGCAAAAAUUUGUAAAAAGUCCCCGCUGAAGAGGGGUGAAAACUAAGUCAAUGGCCCCGAACAAGGCGAAGUGAUAUGUUUUUGGUUGUUUGCCUGCUGUUUCCAAGUGCCUGUGCGUGGGUGUUUUCCCAAAAGGAGCGGAAAUCUAUUCCGGCAAUAAUUAAACUUUACACCGUCACGACUGAUUUUGGAACAGAAAGCAAAACUUCAGCGGAACGAUUUAUUACUCCGCCACUAGUGCGAAGCACGCAAAACGUCAACGAAGGUAAUGAAGAACCUUCUAACGGCGGUGUAAGUCUCCCUUUUUACUAUUCACUAGAAGUAGGUAGAGCAAGGCAUAAAUGGACCGACAGUCCCAAAUGUAAUCCGGCGGUCGCCUUUGAAAUGUUCCCAAAUGAACAAUCCGUUUAAAGGCAGGCCGCCGGUAUAAAAUUGUACCAGUUUAUGCUGGUUUGAGAAGAUUUGCUGGCCAGACACCAAGAUUUUUCCCGGUAGGAUCAACCAACUCGUAGGACGAAGACCCCUUUUUGGCGAGAACUUUCGCCGAUCACCCUCCCCGGAAAUCCUGGAGUAGUCAUCCCCUGAUGCCAUUUCGCAACCAUGGACGACGAAAUGAGGACUAAACCCGGUAGACGAAUGAACCGUGGUAUUUAGGAUGCGUUCCACAUCAGAAAUGCGGGCAUCCCAGUUGCGCUGGUCCGUGCGGGCGUACGCGCGUAUUGCCGUAUUUAUAGAACGAUUCGUUCGUUCUACCGGGAACCGGCUGAAUUCUUUGGAGAUGAACGUCGAACCAUUAUCGCUCAACAGGAUUUCCGGACUUCCAUGGCGGUUGAACCAUUGUUCGCGAAGGGUCGCACAAAGUGAGGCGCUGCAAAUUUUGCGAACGGGGGUCAACAUUACGUACUUGCUGAAGACGUCGAGGACGACUAGCAAGUGUUGAUUGCCCCGUUUGCUUCGAGGAAGUGGGCCUAUGUAGUCCACCGAAAUCAUCUGCCACGGAGCACCGGUUGUGCGUGACUGACCCAUUUCUGGUUGGACUGAGGUAAAUGGUGCUUUCAUCUCUUUGCAGGUCCCACAUUGGCGAAUAUAUUCGCGAACUUCUGGUCCCAUACGAGGCCAAAAAUAGCGUUCUUGAACCUCGUGAAUCGUUUUACCAUAACCCACAUGAAGCAAUUCAUCGUGGGUAUGUUGCACGAUUUCUUCCCGACACUCGGGAGUUGGGACCAAUUUCCAACGAAACCGAGAGUCGAAUGGUACACUUUUCGAGGCCACGUAUUUGAAAAGUUUACCAUCUUCGACUUUAAAGUCAGGAUAAUCAUCAGGAUUAGCUGAAACUUUAGACUUCAUGGAACAAUACCAGUCUGAAGUGGACAAUGCCGAAAUGGCAGCUACAGCACGGGAUAAGGCAUCCGGAACGACAUUGUCCUUACCUUUCCGGUGCUCAAUGGACAUGUCGUAGAGUUGUAGUUCCAAACUCCACCGACUCAGGCGCGAACUGGUCUUCCAUUUGGUCUUCAGUAUCCAGGUAAUGGCUGAUGAAUCAGUGACAAGUCGAAAAUGAUAACCUUCCAAGUAACCUCGGAAGUGUUCAACCGCCAUAAUCACCGCCAGACCUUCCUUUUCGGUAGCGUGGUAAUUCCGUUGGGGAGUGGUUAGCUUAUGUGAAAAAUAAGCUACCACUUUUUCCCCCUCUGGAUGUUGUUGCACCAGAACAGCCGCGACAGCAGUGUCACUGGCAUCUGUCUGCAGAAUAAAUUCCUUUGAAAAAUCUGGCGGGACAAGCACUGGAGGAGUGACUAAAAGUUCCUUUAUCUUCAGGAACGCGAGUUCUGCUUCGGAGUUCCAGCCAAUAUUCUUGGCCUUUGUUUUCAAGAGGUCUGUCAAAGGUGCGGUUACCUCACUAAACCGAUCAAUGAAACGCCGGUAGUAACCGCACAUUCCAAGGAAUCGGCGCAGUUUAGUAACCGUCACCGGCCGCUCGUAAUCGAGUAUCGGCUGAAUUUUGUCAGGAUUGACUUUUAGACCUUCCUGAUUCAACAAAUAGCCAAGAAAUUUUAACUCUGGAACCCCAAAACGGGAUUUAGCCAGGUUUAUCGUCAGAUUGGCUUUGGCUAGACAUUUGGCCACCUCUUUGAGUAAUUGUAGGUGAUGCUCGAACGUUUCGCUUACCACGAUGAUAUCAUCGAGGUAAACGAAGACGUACGGUUCCAGUUUUCCUCGUCCUAACACCUGGUCCAUCAGACGUGCCAAAGUGGCAGGGCUGUUAACGAGACCGAAGGGUAGACGAGUAAAUUGGAACAUACCCCUGCCGGGGACACUGAAAGCAGUAAACUUACGACUGCCCUUAGCCAACGGAACCUGGAGAAAAGCCUCCUUUAAGUCUAUUGUAGACAGGUACUUGGCUUUAGGCAGACUUCCUAAAAUGCGCCCGGGAUGGGGCAGAGGGUAUGCAUCACGUACUGUACGCUCAUUAAGAGGCCGGGCAUCUAGACAAAGCCGAAUAGAGUCGUCUGGUUUGGUCACAGCGACAAUAUUCAAAAACCAAUCGGAAUCUGACUCUUCAAUAAUACCCAUAGAACGCCAACGGUCGACUUCUUCCCAGACUUUAGACAGUUUUCUUGGGUUCAUUUUAUAAGGAUAUCGGCAAACAGGCGCGGCACUUUGGAAUUCUUCCUUAAUUACGAUCCUGUGCUCUGUUAGCGAGGUCGUAUUUAAUUUUCCGGGCACUACAGCCUGAAUACAGGUCGUAACCUGUACGAUACAGGCCAUCUGAUCCGGAGUAAGUAUAGACUCACUCGGAGCAUCAAUCUCUACUUCUUCGUCCCGUUCCGAACCUGAGUUCAACAGAGCACAAGUUUGCAACUCGGGUGUUAUUCCAAAGGCGCGCCAAAAGUCCAUACCGAGUAUUGAAGAAACUGUUAAUUGCUCCACUACAAGGGUGCAAAUAACCUUUGUCUUGUUUUGGAAAGUGUACGGAAGAUAUAUUUGUCCAAGGAUCGGUAAGGUCUGUCCAUUUGCUGAACGAAGUUCAACUGGCCUUUCCAAACCUUUCAAUGGACUUUUGGAAAACUUUCGGUACAACUUUUCGGUGAUAAUGGUGGCAUUACUACCACUGUCGAGCAAAGCCUUGAAGGAAUGGCCAUAUACUGCGAUAAAAACGAAAGGACGAUUAUCGGACGGAUCAUCGAGGAUGAUGGUUUCAACAAACAACGGAUCACGAUAAUCCUCAUCAUGAGCUGGUCGAAAACUGUUGUAAAUUUGGGGGUCUAAUUUUAGGCUUUCUAUGGGGCGCACAUCCUUACACAACUGCGACUUUAGUUGGUACGAAUCCCGUUUUUUAAGCAGUAGGGACAGCGAGAGACAUCGAAACCCUUGAAUCCACACAAAAUACAGAAGAUUCGUCUUGGAUUUCUGCACGCCUCAUGCUCGUGUCCAGUACCACCGCAGUUGUAACAGACUCCGAGACUAGGAGGUCGAUGCUGUUCCACCAGAUAGUCGAGACAAAUCACCGGCUUUUGUUUGGAUUCCGGUUUCGAAUUUCUCUCGACAAGAUUCUUUUCCGUCUGAACACCUGGCUUUUUCUUCGUGUUUUCAGACGGCGUUUUGGAAGCAAAAUUAUCCUUUGGGGAAUUUUUGCUCCAAAAUGUUUUGGUUUCAACGUGGCUGUUAUUCGAACCACCUCCCUUUCCGUUUGGUUGGUCCUUUUUCGAGGGGUUAACCGGCGGAUUUACCGAAUAAGCAGCGACUUCCUUUUGAGAACCGAACACUUUUCGGUAAAUCGGUGUUUUGUACGCAUCAACCAAUUUACCUAAAGUCAUCAAUUCUGCAAGCGUACUUACUGGCUUUGAAAUUAAAACUUGCUUAUAGUCCGGCCUGAGGUUCCGCUUGAGCACGUCGAGUUUUUCGCUCGGUGUCAUGGGAACCGUCAUAGCACGAAAUAUUUUUUCCAUUUCCUGGAAAUAGUCCAGGAAACACUCGUUUCGCAUCUGCAGGCGCUGGGAAACCUUUGAUUUGAGAGCGGUGUCAAGUUCCGGAUGAACGAAAUUUGCCUUAAGCUCACAAACCAAAUGGUUCCAGUUGUAAAGCCUGUUCUGCGAUCUCAUAGCCCGAUACCAAGUAAGAGCAUUGUCAGUGAGUAGGUGCAUUGCAGAAUUGAACAGCUCCUCCUCUGAAAUUUGCUCGCACUGAGCAUAUUUUUCAACGGAGUCCAGAAAUUCAUUCAGUCCUAGCCCAUCAUCUGUCCCAGCGUAUUUCUCGAUUUUCCAAUCGGAAACACGCUGUGGUCGACGAUUGUAAUGGUAGCCCGAGCAGGAUGGUAAUUCAUUACCCGUACGAUUGG